RNAcentral lists this transfer-messenger RNA (351 nucleotides) under Candidatus Staskawiczbacteria bacterium RIFOXYC1_FULL_38_18. It matches the Rfam family "transfer-messenger RNA". Rfam says of the family: Bacterial tmRNA, also known as 10Sa RNA or SsrA, is named for its dual tRNA and mRNA-like properties. Its role is to liberate the mRNA from a stalled ribosome. RNAcentral also lists the same sequence under 2 other names. The record is from RNAcentral. Lineage: Bacteria; Candidatus Staskawicziibacteriota.
GGGAGUGUGAGUUUUGAUGAAUUGCUCUUUUAAGCAAGGCAAGUUGAGCCAUCUUGGGGCUCGUUAAUAUCUGAGAAAAACAUAAUUGCUACUAAUUUAUUUAAUAGACAACCAGCGUUGGCUUUAGCUUAAUGCUGCAUCCUCGCCAUUGACUCCUGAUAAAUGGAGUUAGGGUGUUAUAUUAUCAGGAUAGAUAAUUUACUUCUCCGAUAAAUUAUCAAAAUUAAGGAGAUAAGGCAUUAAAAAUUUUGUUAAUUUUUUAUCUAAUGCUCGAACAUCAAAAUUAACUAAACUUGUAGAAUUACUUAAGAAAGCUUUUCAGACGCGAGUUCAAUCUCGCCACUUCCACAU